GAUGAACGCUGGCGGCGUGCUUAACACAUGCAAGUCGAACGUGAGAAUAGCAAUAUUUGAAAGUGGCAAACGGGUGAGUAACACGUGGGAACCUGCCUCGAAGUGGGGGAUAACGAUUGGAAACGGUCGCUAAUACCGCACGGUUCUGCUCUGAUGGGAAUGGAGCAGAUAAAGAUUUAUCGCUUUGAGAGGGGCCCGCGGCCGAUUAGCUAGUUGGUAAGGUAAAGGCUUACCAAGGCGAUUAUCGGUAGCUGGUCUGAGAGGACGAUCAGCCACACGGGAACUGAGACACGGUCCCGACUCCUACGGGGGGCAGCAGUGAGGAAUAUUGGGCAAUGGGCGAAAGCCUGACCCAGCAACGCCGCGUGGAGGAUGAAGGCUUUAGGGUUGUAAACUCCUUUUGUGGGGAAAAGAAUGGAUGGUACCCCAAGAAUAAGUCACGGCUAACUACGUGCCAGCAGCCGCGGUAAGGCACGACUGU
Molecule: ribosomal RNA, 481 nt
Filed under: uncultured bacterium
Lineage: Bacteria
Description: bacterial SSU rRNA
Rfam family: Bacterial small subunit ribosomal RNA
Source: RNAcentral